RNAcentral lists this unclassified non-coding RNA (409 nucleotides) under Hevea brasiliensis (rubber tree). Lineage: Eukaryota; Viridiplantae; Streptophyta; Magnoliopsida; Malpighiales; Euphorbiaceae. The record is from RNAcentral.
CGCCCAUUAACACUGUCUAAACAAAUUUUCUAUUCACCUUUACAAGUCGUAUCAUUACGGUUACGAAGAUAAAAAUAUAAUGUAUUAUCCACCAAAGAUAUAUCACCAUAUGCUUCACAAAACCACAACCCUCCUUAAUCAAAGAAAGAACAUCAAAAGCAUGUUUGACUCAAUCCGACAUGUGAACAGUCCUAGUCAAGGAUAGGGUUGGUUCACCACAAGUACCCCUAGGAAUACAACAUAAUAUUCUUACUUGGUCAGCCAAUAAAUGAACAUCAGAAAAGUGCACACUGAUGCAACUAGGGAAAGUAUUAUGGUAUCCAUCGACUUUUUCCUCCUUAUUGCAGUGAGAAUGUGAUUUACCGUUGGAAGGCGGCUGGUAACAUUGCUGAGCUUUGAAUUGAUUCCC